GCCUUUGUGGUGUAGUGGUCAGCACAAACGGCGCGUUUUCGAGAGGUUCGUGGUUCGAGUCCUGGCGAGGGCA
Molecule: non-coding RNA, 73 nt
Organism: Stegodyphus mimosarum
Lineage: Eukaryota; Metazoa; Arthropoda; Arachnida; Araneae; Eresidae
Source: Rfam